AUUGAACGCUAGCGGGAUGCUUUACACAUGCAAGUCGAACGAGUGGCGGACGGGUGAGUAAUAUAUCGGAAGUGCCCAGUAGCGGGGGAUAACUACUGGAAACGGUAGCUAAUACCGCAUACUAUCGGAUAACCCAUAUGGGAUUAGCUAGGUGGUGAGGUAAUGGCUCACCUAGGCGACGAUCCCUAGCUGGGCUGAGAGGAUGAUCAGCCCCCCCGGGACUGAACUGCGGCCCAGUCUCCUACGGAGGCGGGAUAGGGGAAUAUUGCACAAUGGGCGCAAGCCUGAUACAGCCAUGCCACGUGUAUGAAGAAGGCCCUAGGGUUGUAAAGUACUUUCAGUCGUGAGGCGUUACCGACAGAAGAAGCACCGGCUAACUACGUGCCAGCAGCCGCGGUAAUAC
This 403-nucleotide ribosomal RNA is filed under the name uncultured bacterium. RNAcentral's name for it is "partial 16S ribosomal RNA". It matches the Rfam family "Bacterial small subunit ribosomal RNA", at positions 30 to 526 of the family's 1533-position model. The record is from RNAcentral.